Molecule: long non-coding RNA, 2343 nt
Organism: Anastrepha ludens (Mexican fruit fly)
Lineage: Eukaryota; Metazoa; Arthropoda; Insecta; Diptera; Tephritidae
Exons: 3
Source: RefSeq, a predicted model, not a curated record
GUUUUCCUAUUUCUGCAGUAAACUGAAUAACCUUAAUAUUAGAUUUGACAAAUAACGUAUAUUUACGUUCUUUGGAACGAACGAGUAGACCAACGAACGAAUAGCAGCACAAAAGCGACGUACAAAAAAUAGAAAAUGGCGAACUUUGAUUUUCAUUUUCCGAAUUUCACGUUAAGUUUCUGUUAAAAUCGAAGCGGAAAUACUGCCAAAUUGAAGAUAAAAACGGCAAAGAAUCCUCCAGCUACCAAGGAAGCAACAUGCGUAUGUGAAAUUAAAAGCGAGAAGUGUUUUUCAAGUUUAAAAAAGAAAGUGAUGUCUGGCCAAUGAGUGUUGCCGAAGGCAGGCAGCAAAGGAAAGCAACACCAUUUUGACAAGGCAGGCAAUCAGCAAGUCGGAUAUACUUAUUUCCCUUCCGUGGACUUAUUUUAUGUUUGCUGCUACAAUUGCAGAAACUUAAUAACAAUGCAAAAUGUCUAUGUUUCACUUAAGAGAUCUUUCAUAAAAGCUAAAUGAUAGGUCGUGUAGUGUUCGACAAGUGAAUAAAUUUCGGUGGGAAAUCAGUACGUGCGUCAUUUAUAGUGAGAACAAGACAAACUAACAACAAAUUGCAAGUAAAGCUGCCAAAAAACUUGACAAUCUAAGUCCUUCGGGUGCCUAAAUGCUAAAUUAUGUGUAAUAACUUUGUGACUAAUAGUAGCUAAAUGUUUUCAAAUAAUUUCCACACAAUCAAUAGUAAUAAUUCAUCAAAGCAAUUUCAUUGGAAGUGGACCAGUAAAGAGGCAAGUGGAGCUAACGGGCUAAAUACCAAUAAAAAUACCCCACUUCCUUGAAAGAGUAAUAAAGACUACAACAGCACAGAUAAAGUUAUUCCCUUAAUUUACGGCUCCAGUGACGUAUGUUCGUAUAGAAAGUACGGAUGUUAAAAUUAACGUUGAAGCCGAAGCAUUGCAAUAUAAAUAAAAGCAACCAACAAAGUUACAACAAAAUUACCAUAUAACUUAAAGCAAUAAAAACAACAAACAAACUUCAAAAACCCAACAACAAGAAGCAACCAAUACAAUUACGUAAGUAAAAUUCUCAAACUUAAAACACCAAAAACAAAAAGGAAAAAACUAAGUUUAAAUGUAAAUAUAAUUAAAAUAGGACAAAGAAAGCAUAAAAGAAUAAAUAAACAAUACAACUCGGCGCUAAACACAGACGGUACUCGUGAAGCCCCUUCGUGUGUCCUCUAGGACUUUUCCCGUUCCGCAUAUUCUCGUUCUCGUUCGCGCGCGCGGUGUAAUUAAAAUGUUCGUGGCUGUGUUAGCGUAGGCGAGACAAAAACAACAAGCUAUAAAUUAAAAACAAAAGAAUCAAUUAUCAAAAAUAAAAGUAAUUACUUACAUAUAUAAAUAAUAUUAUAAAUUAUUAUAAACGAAUAGAGCGGAGGCAGGAAAAUGUGAUAAUCUAAUCAAUUUGUAAAUGAAUUAAGUAAUUAAUUAACUAAAUCGUAAUUGUAUUAUAGAUACAAGAACUAUAACAGCAAACACUAAAUUAAUUGCAUAAUCUCUUUAAUAUUAAUCAAGUACAUACAUACAUAUGUUACUUUAUAUACACAUUAUUAUAUACGCGAAACCUAAUAAUACCACUUAGUAAGUAAAGUAAAUUCAUUCAAUAUAUUUAACACUGUGAGAAUGCUUAUGGAAUUUGACCAAAUGAAUUCCCACUUAUGAAUUGAAAGUUAUAUUGAAGAAAACAGAAGGACCUUUGCGAAAAAUUCUAAACGAAUACAAAGAGUUUAUCUCCGUGGAAACACCAAUCGUUAUAACAAUUACCACAAAACGUCGAUUAUUCUCCAAUGAACACAGAAACACAACGUACACAGUGGGGCGUGCGGCAGCUAACAAACUUUUUCAAAUCAUUGCUUACAGCUAUGUAGCGCUAUGUGCAGCUAUUGGAACGAAAAGAAAAUCAACUAAAAAGUACUCCAGAUCUGCGGGCAUAUUUUCAAUAUGUAAUUUUGUUUUAAUUUUCCUUCGGAAUCUUUUUAACAAACACCAAACACAUUUUGUGUGCAUACGAACUCAUUAGAAACUAGUUUGAAAACAAGGAAUCACAAAAUCAAAAAGUGUGAAAGAGUGUACUGCGAGAAAUCCAGUUGACCAACAUUAUCAGCGCCACUUCCUGUGCAGCAACACCAGCCAACAGCAGCUGCAAGCCAGUAUAUUCAGCGAAAAUCCAAAGGAAAUUCAGCAAGCAACAAUGUCUUAAUUUGGCAUGCGCGAAUUUAGUAAAAAGUUUACUAAACCCAAUGAGAUGGACAUGAAAAAAAUACCAAAAGCACGGUGAGUGAUCCCUUAUGCG